CCUACGGGUGGCAGCAGUGGGGAAUAUUGGGCAAUGGGCGCAAGCCUGACCCAGCAACGCCGCGUGAAGGAAGAAGGCUUUCGGGUUGUAAACUUCUUUUGUCAGGGACGAAGCAAGUCACGGUAUCUGACGAAUAAGCCACGGCUAACUUCGUGCCAGCAUCCGCCGUAAUACGUAGGUGGGAAGCGUUAUCCGGAUUUACUGGGUGUAAAGGGCGUUUAGGCGGGACUGGAAGUCAGAUGUGAAAACAACGGGCUGAACCUGUGGCCUGCAUUUGAAACUGGAGUUCUUGAGUACUGGAGAGGCAGGCGGAAUGCGUAGUGUAGCGGUGAAAUGCGUAGAUAUUGGGAAGAACGCCGGUGGCGAAGGCAGUCUGCUGGAGGGGAACUGACGCUGAGGCGCGAAAGCGUGGGGAGCGAACAGGAUUAGAUACCCCUGUAGUC
Molecule: ribosomal RNA, 443 nt
Filed under: uncultured bacterium
Lineage: Bacteria
Description: partial 16S ribosomal RNA
Rfam family: Bacterial small subunit ribosomal RNA
Source: RNAcentral